RNAcentral lists this small RNA (287 nucleotides) under Plenodomus lingam JN3. Its description in RNAcentral is "a. fumigatus sRNA Afu_309". It matches the Rfam family "A. fumigatus sRNA Afu_309". Lineage: Eukaryota; Fungi; Ascomycota; Dothideomycetes; Pleosporales; Leptosphaeriaceae. The record is from Rfam by way of RNAcentral.
CUUCUCUCACAAACAAACGACCUGUGCCAGCUGUCCCAUUCCAUGUCUUUGGGCGUGUGUUACGGUUGAUGGCUGGCAGUUCGUCCGUCUCACGGAGCCUUUUCUUCUUCCUCAUGGAUGGGCUUCGGACGACAGGUCGCAGAGCAAGUUGGCGCCAGGUUGGAAGCCUGAGAUCACCGCAAGGUUGGAGCUCGGUGGAAGACGUGGUGCCUGGCCAACUAAUUCCUGUUCCCUUAUGCUAGGCCGUCGGCUCUUGAUGCUUGGGACAAACCUAGUCGGCUACAAUU